AAGGCCGAUGGCGACCGGCGCACGGGUGAGUAACACGUACCCAACCUGCCGUCUACUCUUGGACGGCCUUCUGAAAGGAAGAUUAAUACAAGAUGGCAUCAUGAGUCCGCAUGUUCACAUGAUUAAAGGUAUUCCGGUAGACGAUGGGGAUGCGUUCCAUUAGAUAGUAGGCGGGGUAACGGCCCACCUAGUCUUCGAUGGAUAGGGGUUCUGAGAGGAAGGUCCCCCACAUUGGAACUGAGACACGGUCCAAACUCCUACGGGAGGCAGCAGUGAGGAAUAUUGGUCAAUGGGCGAGAGCCUGAACCAGCCAAGUAGCGUGAAGGAUGACUGCCCUAUGGGUUGUAAACUUCUUUUAUAAAGGAAUAAAGUCGGGUAUGGAUACCCGUUUGCAUGUACUUUAUGAAUAAGGAUCGGCUAACUCCGGGCCAGCAGCCGCGGUAAUACGGAGGAUCCGAGCGUUAUCCGGAUUUAUUGGGUUUAAAGGGAGCGUAGAUGGAUGUUUAAGUCAGUUGUGAAAGUUUGCGGCUCAACCGUAAAAUUGCAGUUGAUACUGGAUAUCUUGAGUGCAGUUGAGGCAGGCGGAAUUCGUGGUGUAGCGGUGAAAUGCUUAGAUAUCACGAAGAACUCCGAUUGCGAAGGCAGCCUGCUAAGCUGCAACUGACAUUGAGGCUCGAAAGUGUGGGUAUCAAACAGGAUUAGAUACCCUGGUAGUCCACACGGUAAACGAUGAAUACUCGCUGUUUGCGAUAUACAGCAAGCGGCCAAGCGAAAGCGUUAAGUAUUCCACCUGGGGAGUACGCCGGCAACGGUGAAACUCAAAGGAAUUGACGGGGGCCCGCACAAGCGGAGGAACAUGUGGUUUAAUUCGAUGAUACGCGAGGAACCUUACCCGGGCUUAAAUUGCAGAUGAAUUACGGUGAAAGCCGUAAGCCGCAAGGCAUCUGUGAAGGUGCUGCAUGGUUGUCGUCAGCUCGUGCCGUGAGGUGUCGGCUUAAGUGCCAUAACGAGCGCAACCCUUGUUGUCAGUUACUAACAGGUUCCGCUGAGGACUCUGACAAGACUGCCAUCGUAAGAUGUGAGGAAGGUGGGGAUGACGUCAAAUCAGCACGGCCCUUACGUCCGGGGCUACACACGUGUUACAAUGGGGGGUACAGAGGGCCGCUACCACGCGAGUGGAUGCCAAUCCCAAAAACCUCUCUCAGUUCGGACUGGAGUCUGCAACCCGACUCCACGAAGCUGGAUUCGCUAGUAAUCGCGCAUCAGCCACGGCGCGGCGAAUACGUUCCCGGGCCUUGUACACACCGCCCGUCAAGCCAUGGGAGCCGGGGGUACCUGAAGUGCGUAACCGCGAGGAGCGCCCUAGGGUAAAACUGGUGACUGGGGCUAAGUCG
This 1394-nucleotide ribosomal RNA is filed under the name uncultured bacterium. Its description in RNAcentral is "bacterial SSU rRNA". It matches the Rfam family "Bacterial small subunit ribosomal RNA". The record is from RNAcentral.